RNAcentral lists this ribosomal RNA (468 nucleotides) under uncultured bacterium. RNAcentral describes it as "partial 16S ribosomal RNA". It matches the Rfam family "Bacterial small subunit ribosomal RNA", at positions 28 to 507 of the family's 1533-position model. The record is from RNAcentral.
GACGAACGCUGGCGGCGUGCUUAACACAUGCAAGUCGAACGGCAAGGCCCUGCUUUUGUGGGGUGCUCGAGUGGCGAACGGGUGAGUAACACGUGAGUAACCUGCCCUUGACUUUGGGAUAACUUCAGGAAACUGGGGCUAAUACCGGAUAGGAGCUCCUGCUGCAUGGUGGGGGUUGGAAAGUUUCGGCGGUUGGGGAUGGACUCGCGGCUUAUCAGCUUGUUGGUGGGGUAGUGGCUUACCAAGGCUUUGACGGGUAGCCGGCCUGAGAGGGUGACCGGCCACAUUGGGACUGAGAUACGGCCCAGACGCCUACGGGAGGCAGCAGUGGGGAAUAUUGCACAAUGGGCGGAAGCGUGAUGCAGAAACGCCGCGGGCGGGAUGACGGCCUUCGGGUUGUAAACCGCUUUAGCCUGUGACGAAGCGGGAGUGACGGUAAUGGGUAAAGAAGCACCGGCUAACUACGUG